This 73-nucleotide transfer RNA is filed under the name Podarcis lilfordi (Lilford's wall lizard). Its description in RNAcentral is "tRNA.Leu". The record is from RNAcentral. Lineage: Eukaryota; Metazoa; Chordata; Lepidosauria; Squamata; Lacertidae.
GGAUAGCUCAGUUGGUUGGAGCGUGGUGCUGAGAAUGCCAAGGUUGCAGGUUCGAUCCCCAUAAGGGGCAGCU